This is a long non-coding RNA of Cyprinus carpio (common carp), 883 nucleotides long. The record is from Ensembl. Lineage: Eukaryota; Metazoa; Chordata; Actinopteri; Cypriniformes; Cyprinidae.
AACCUAGCAGUAAAAUGGAGUUUUAUUUUCCCCAAAUCAAUAUGUCCAUUUUUGUGUUUGUCAAAGAUUAAUGUUCCUUCUUCAGAGUUUCAAGCAACUGAGCUGUUGCAGAAAGCUUUAUCAUCUGAUCAAAAUGAAACCUGUGUUUCCAUUGGUCCUGUGGUCAAAUACUGCUGGAAGAUCCUACUUCUGCUCAGCAAUCAAAAAGCACUAGAGGUAAGAAGGAUGAUAAACACAAAACACACAACACAUGGUCAAUGCCCUAAUGAUCCUUUCUAAGUACUAAAUCACUAAACAUUUUAAUCAAAAUUUCACUGAAAACAAUCCAUUAAUUGGCAACAUAACAGAUUUACUAAUAGGUCUCUUCUUGCAGAGCACCAGUAGUGGACAGCAAUCUCCAUCUCUACAAAGUCAAUCCAUUACCGGAGCAGCAGCAAACACUCCCAACAUCAAUACACACAAGACACAGAGCACCUCCAUGACCAAUGUCCAAAAAAACACCUCAAGUACCCCAGCUUCAACUCCCCACCAUGAGAGAGAGUCCACUGCAGGCUCCUGUGUGUCUACUCACGCCGUGAGCUGUCGGACGCUAGAGUCGGCCCCGGUGCCCUGUGAGGCCUGUGCUUGUGUUCAGACGGUGAUGAAGGAGAGCGGUGAUGCUUUAGUGUCACUGUCCAGUCUCUGGGUUUGCCUGGCUCCAUGCAGGGAUUCCUGGCAGCUGUGGAAGAUAACGCAGCAGAUGGGCCGCUUGUCUGCAUGUGACAUUUCCCAAUUGGCAAGUGAGCAGCGUAGAGAUAUGAGCCGUGUGGGGAAACAUGUCCAGGAGGUAAGAGAAACUGUUGAGCUGCUGAAAAAGAAGAUGAAAGAGACAGAGAUGGAGUGA